Molecule: ribosomal RNA, 482 nt
Filed under: uncultured bacterium
Lineage: Bacteria
Description: partial 16S ribosomal RNA
Rfam family: Bacterial small subunit ribosomal RNA
Source: RNAcentral
AUUGAACGCUGGCGGCAUGCUUUACACAUGCAAGUCGAACGGUAACAGGCCGCAAGGUGCUGACGAGUGGCGAACGGGUGAGUAAUGCAUCGGAACGUGCCCAGUCGUGGGGGAUAACUACUCGAAAGAGUAGCUAAUACCGCAUACGAUCUAUGGAUGAAAGCGGGGGACCGUAAGGCCUCGCGCGAUUGGAGCGGCCGAUGUCAGAUUAGGUAGUUGGUGGGGUAAAGGCUCACCAAGCCAACGAUCUGUAGCUGGUCUGAGAGGACGACCAGCCACACUGGGACUGAGCCACGGCCCAGACUCCUACGGGAGGCCGCAGUGGGGAAUUUUGGACAAUGGGCGCAAGCCUGAUCCAGCAAUGCCGCGUGCAGGAAGAAGGCCUUCGGGUUGUAAACUGCUUUUGUACGGAACGAAACGGCUCUGGUUAAUACCCGGGGCUAAUGACGGUACCGUAAGAAUAAGCACCGGCUAACUACGUG